AACUAAAAUACCACCAACUAUUUCCAGAAAUAAUUUGAAAUUACGGAACUACAUGUACAAACGUAAAAAAAUCCAUUCCAAUUCUCCUGUACCCAUAUAUACUUACUCUAUAGAUAGAAUCAUAUACAUGUAUCUUAUCUCAUUCUAUCCCUAGUUUGUCUACUCUUUGUCAGCAUAAAAGCGAGUUUAAUAUUUUGUAACUGCG
RNAcentral lists this long non-coding RNA (205 nucleotides) under Mytilus galloprovincialis (Mediterranean mussel). The record is from RNAcentral. Lineage: Eukaryota; Metazoa; Mollusca; Bivalvia; Mytilida; Mytilidae.